This is a long non-coding RNA of Brassica rapa (field mustard), 3709 nucleotides long. RefSeq lists it as uncharacterized. The record is from RefSeq and is a predicted model, not a curated record. NCBI's taxonomy places the organism in Eukaryota, Viridiplantae, Streptophyta, Magnoliopsida, Brassicales, Brassicaceae.
UGAAUCAGCAUGUUAUUGUACAUGAUCCGCCACGUCACCGAGUGAGGUGCCUGACGUGGGUAGACGAGGAUACACGUGUUGUUAAACAGAGUUGGAUUUGUGGUAAACGGUGAUCCGUAUGACAUGGACAAAAACAGUUUCCCCUUAUUCUUCGAAGAGAUUCCUUUGACCGGACAGAGAUAAGAGUAGGAUCAAUAUUGUAUUCAGUUAAUUCUAAUUUGUUUUAUAGUAACUAUUAAUCUACCCUUUUCAUUAUAUAUAUCAGAAAUUGACAUCUUUUGAACUUGCAAUCAAAAUUUGUCUGUAUUUGGGUCAGAAUCUAACAACUUAAGUUAGUGAAUAAUGUUGGUCUGUUUUAAGAUACAAACUUAGUUUAAUACACAUUAUCUAUAACCAAGUUUUUGAUGUUAUAGAUGGACAAAUUUAGGUUACCUAAAACAUAUUGUGACUACUUAAGUUUGACAAUAUAGAUCUUGUACUACUUUAUUAUAAUGGUAAAUUCACAUUUUAUCUCCUAAUAUUAUUUUUAAUAUAUUUUUUGAAAAGAACAACUAUUUUAAUAUAUUUACUAUUUUGAUUUAAAAUAAAGAACCUGCAUAAUAGAUAUUGAUUUUGUUUCAAUGUAUUCUUGUAUGAUAGAUAACAUACAAUGAAAAAUAGAAAUGACUGUUUUUUCUUAUAUAAAAAACAGUAGUUUAUAUAUAAAAAGAAAUAGCAAUAUGUUAAAAUAUAAUUAUUUCUAAGUGUUAUUAUAGAUGUAAAAUAUAAUUAUUCGGUUCAACUCCAAUAUAUAUUUUUCUUUUUUCUAAUUGUAUUUUACUAUGCAUGCCUUACACGUAAGGAGGAUACGCUUGAAAGCACGUUCUCUUGCGGCAAAACGAACCUUGUGUGCCAAGUGUUUACACGUCGAGAUGUAAUAAACAAAAAGGGUAGAGUCCCAGCAUAAUUUACUCUCUCUGUCUAUCAUAUAGUCAUUCUAAUCUCUUACAAAUAUUUAAGCUUGAACAUUUCGGAUGUUACUUCAGUUCAGUUUAAGUAUUAAUUUACGUACUGCAUAACUUAUUUUCAGUUCGUGUUCAGUUGGAUACUAAAACUAAGAACCUGAAAACACUCCAAAAUUUGGUUCAUAUUGGAUUCUGAUCGUGGUUCGGUUUUUUUAGAUAAUUUGGAUUAUAUAUUAUGUAUUUUAGAGAAAAUAUUGAAUAACUAAGAUAAUUCGGAUAAAAAAACUUUGGAUAAUUUAUUUUAGAUAUUUCAAACAAAACUAUUUGAAUGCUUUCGAAUAGUUUGGAUAUUUUAUAAUAAUUUAAUUUUAAAAAUAUUUUUUAAAAAUUGAUAAAUAGAUUUUUAUUAUAAAUAUAUAUAUUUGGGUAUCCAAUUUUUAGUUUCGUUUGGUUUUUUCGAGCAUAAAAAUGUAAAAACAAUUAGGAUAUUUGAAAGUUCGGUCCGAUUUUAAUUUUAGAUAUUUCAGUUUGGUCUGGUUUGGAUUUUCGGUUAUGAAUCUUUGCUCAGACCUAGAUAUUUAUGCUUUUAUUACCCAGAUAUUUUAAGAAUAAGAAUUAUAUAUUCUGUUAUUGAUAAAAAAGAAUAUAUAUUCUGUGAAUUAUAUAUUCUGUUAUUGAUAAAAAAUUAUAUAUAUAUAUAUAUAUUCUGUGAAGCAGAAUGGUCCUAAUCACUACCAAGUACCAAGAUGUCCGUCUCUUACAAGUUUCAACAUCAUUCGUUUUCUCAGACUCUCCUUGAGGUUCUACUAAUGUUAUCUGCAACCGUACGCUCUCUACUUCUCUCAUAUAGUCUAUUUGUACUGUGUAUUUGUAAAAGUCGUACAUGAAAAUGAAAUAUUCACGUGCGUAAUACCACCUCGUAUUUUUCAUAUUAUAAAAAAAUAACAUUGGUUGACAAAAAAAAAACAUUAUUUUCUUUUUAAAGUUCUUAAUAGAUGUAAUCUUUCUAAUAGUAGAUCGUCUGUAAUGUUGUAGAGGAGGAGGAUAAUCUUCUUCAAGGCUGAUUUUGUGGCGAUGAGAUAGCGGACAAGCUCGAAGAUGAGCCAUGUACAAACAACACCACAGCUGGAAUGGUUACUCCAGCUGGUUUGUAUCCCUAACAGGGUCCCUAUUCUAGCUUUAACUACAGUAUAUGAAUGAUUCGAGGUAUAUGUUCGGAGAAAAAGUAGAUGGUUGUGUUAACAAGUGGACAUGCAAAGUCCGUAAGAUUUAUGGUUGGGUUAGGGGUUGGGGGUUAUUGUUAAGUUGUCUUCAAUACGUACAAGUCUUCACAUCUUUGUGUUGACAUGUGAAUCGAAGAAUGUUCAAGUUGUGUUUCUUUAAGGGUUUUCCCCUCAACUAAAGAUUAAUCAUAAAAAAACAUUUAACUAAAAAUUCUGUGAAAUAAACCAUCAACUUUAAUUUCAUUAACAUAUGUUACCCUCCGUUUAAAAAAUCAUGACGGAAGGUGACAUACAUUAACGGUUUAUAAGUUGAAGGUUUAUAAUGUUGAAAACUUAGUUGAGGUUUUUUUUUAUAAUUUAAAAAUAGUUGAAGAAUUUUAUCACUAAAAGUCAUUAAAUGGUUUAAAAACUUUAUUAUCAUUUAUAUAUUGUUUUAUAUUGAUAUAAGCCUUUAAAACUAAUUUAUAAAUUUUAAUACAUUACUUUAUAACUGAUUUAUAAAGCUUCAUAAAUAUUUUAAUACUUUUACGUAUGAUUUAUACGGUUUCACAAUGAUUUUAUAAGUUUUUAGAAUUUCUGCUACUUGUUAGGAUAAAAUAAUGAGUUAUUAACAUAAAUAGACACAUUGUGUCUUUUUAUUACACUUUAGAACACAUUAUGCUACUGAGGUACUUCUCAGUGGUUGAAGACUUGUUUACCCUCCAAAAAGCAAAACCAAGAGGGAUACUGAGGUAAUUGGACGAUUCUUUUUAGUUGGGCUGGUUAGGUAUUUGAAUUUAAAAAAAAAAUAGGGUUUAGACUGGUGGACGUGAAACCUAGGUGAAAUUGAAUUUUGUUUUUCACACGGGCCCGGGGAAACUCUCGUCGAAUUAAUUUUCUUUCUUCAAUAAUAGUAAAACCCAGAAAAAAGUGACGAACGAGAUUUCCAACGGAGGACGUUUUAACGGCGGAGACUGAUGGAGAAGAAGAUGUCGUCGCAAAAGAGGAGAGAUUUCAAGGGCAAAGCAAAAGUUUUUACAGAGGUGGCAUAGGCAGAGGAGUAAGGGGUGAAUGAAGGAAGUUUUCAUAAUUUUGGGAUUAGGAUUCUGAUUUAAGAGUUUUCUAAUGAUGAGGUUUUCUAUGUACGUGUGUACAUUGUUAUGUGUGUGUACAUGUGUACACUAUUUUACAGAGGUGGCGUAGGCAGAGGAGGAAGGGGUGGAUGAAGGAAGCUUUCUUAAUUUUGGGAUUAGGGUUCUGAUUUCAGAGUUUUCUAAUGAUGAUGUUUUCUAUGUACGUGUGUACAUUGUUAUGUGUGUACAUGUGUACACUAUUUUAGACUAAUGUAUGCAUGUUAGGUGUUGUGUUUGCAUUCUGUAGACUUAUUAUAUUAUGCUAAUCAGAUGGUGUAAGAUUAUAUUUUGCGGUUUGAUUGUAUGAUAUGGACGUAUCAUGUCUGUAAGAAUGAUGGUUUUAUUCGGCUAAAAUAUCACGGUAGUUUGUGUUGUAUGUGUAAUCCUAAUGUAAGCAUGUUUGGUGUUGCUGCUAAAACAUGUUUGGUGU